This is a non-coding RNA of Sus scrofa (pig), 12913 nucleotides long. The record is from RefSeq and is a predicted model, not a curated record. NCBI's taxonomy places the organism in Eukaryota, Metazoa, Chordata, Mammalia, Artiodactyla, Suidae.
CUAUUCCUCCCGCUGCAGGCGCGGCCGCUUUAAGCGGGGGCGGGACGGCGCGCGGCAGUGCGACGGCCGCGGCGGGGAGGGCUCGGCUGGGGGUCGCGGGCCCCGGUUGCUGGAGGCCCGGCGCCGAGGUCAAGGCUGGGCGACCUCAUGGACAUGAUACUUUUCUCUUGAGCAGCAGACCAGCUAAGGAAAAAAAAUGGCGUUUGUGGCAACACCAGGGGCCACAGUGGUUGACCAAACCACUCUGAUGAAAAAAUACCUUCAGUUUGUGGCAGCUCUCACGGAUGUAAAUACACCUGAUGAAACGAAGUUAAAAAUGAUGCAAGAAGUUAGUGAAAAUUUUGAGAAUGUCACUUCAUCUCCUCAAUAUUCUACAUUCCUGGAACAUAUCAUCCCUCGGUUUCUUACAUUUCUUCAAGAUGGAGAGGUCCAGUUUCUUCAGGAGAAACCAGCCCAGCAACUGCGGAAGCUCGUUCUCGAGAUAAUUCACAGAAUACCAACCAACGAACAUCUUCGUCCUCAUACAAAAAAUGUUUUGUCUGUGAUGUUUCGCUUUUUAGAGACAGAAAAUGAAGAAAACGUUCUUAUUUGCUUACGAAUAAUUAUUGAACUACACAAACAGUUCAGGCCACCCAUCACACAAGAAAUUCACCAUUUUUUGGAUUUUGUGAAACAGAUUUACAAGGAGCUUCCAAAAGUCGUGAACCGCUACUUCGAGAACCCGCAGGUGAUCCCCGAGAACACCGUCCCCCCCCCAGAAGUGGUCGGAAUGAUCACAACGAUCGCGGUGAAGGUCAACCCCGAACGCGAGGACAGCGAGACCAGAACCCACUCCAUCAUCCCGAGAGGAUCUCUGUCUUUGAAAGUGUUGGCAGAACUGCCCAUUAUUGUUGUGUUAAUGUAUCAGCUCUACAAGGUGAAUAUCCACAGUGUUGUUGCUGAAUUUGUACCCUUGAUCAUGAACACCAUUGCAAUUCAGGUGUCUGCUCAAGCCAGGCAACAUAAGCUUUACAACAAGGAGCUGUAUGCUGAUUUCAUUGCUGCUCAGAUUAAAACAUUGUCAUUUUUAGCGUAUAUCAUCAGGAUUUACCAGGAGUUGGUGACGAAAUACUCUCAGCAGAUGGUGAAAGGAAUGUUACAGCUGCUUUCAAAUUGCCCGGCAGAAACCGCGCACCUGCGAAAGGAGCUUCUCAUCGCCGCCAAGCACAUCCUCACCACCGAGCUGCGAAACCAGUUCAUUCCUUGCAUGGACAAGCUGUUUGAUGAAUCCAUACUCAUUGGCUCAGGAUAUACUGCUCGAGAGACUCUCAGGCCCCUCGCCUACAGCACGCUGGCGGACCUCGUGCACCACGUCCGUCAGCACCUGCCCCUCAGCGACCUCUCCCUCGCCGUCCAGCUCUUUGCUAAGAACAUCGACGAUGAGUCCCUGCCCAGCAGCAUCCAGACCAUGUCCUGCAAGCUCCUGCUGAACCUGGUGGACUGCAUCCGCUCCAAGAGCGAGCAGGAGAGCGGCAACGGGAGAGACGUGCUGAUGCGGAUGCUGGAGGUUUUUGUUCUCAAAUUCCACACCAUUGCACGGUACCAGCUCUCUGCCAUUUUUAAGAAGUGCAAGCCUCAGUCGGAACUGGGAGCCGUGGAAGCAGCGCUGCCCGGGGUCCCCGCGGCCCCUGCGGCUCCGGGCCCCGCCCCUUCCCCCGCCCCGGUUCCCGCCCCCGCCCCGCCCCCGCCCCCCACCCCCGCCCCCCCGGUGACCCCAGCGCCCGUGCCUCCCUUCGAGAAGCAAGGCGAGAAGGAUAAGGAGGACAAGCAGACCUUCCAGGUCACAGACUGCCGGAGCUUGGUCAAGACCUUGGUCUGCGGCGUCAAGACAAUCACGUGGGGCAUCACGUCGUGUAAAGCGCCCGGUGAAGCUCAGUUCAUUCCUAAUAAGCAGCUGCAGCCCAAAGAGACUCAGAUUUACAUAAAACUUGUGAAAUAUGCAAUGCAGGCUUUAGAUAUUUAUCAGGUCCAGAUCGCAGGAAAUGGGCAGACCUACAUUCGCGUCGCAAACUGCCAGACUGUUCGAAUGAAGGAAGAGAAGGAGGUGCUGGAGCACUUUGCCGGCGUCUUCACCAUGAUGAACCCCUUGACAUUUAAGGAAAUUUUCCAAACUACAGUCCCUUACAUGGUGGAAAGAAUCUCGAAAAACUACGCACUUCAGAUUGUUGCCAAUUCCUUCUUGGCAAAUCCUACUACCUCUGCUCUGUUUGCUACGAUUCUGGUGGAGUAUCUCCUAGACCGCCUGCCGGAAAUGGGCUCCAACGUGGAGCUCUCCAACCUGUACCUCAAGCUGUUCAAGUUGGUCUUUGGCUCCGUCUCCCUCUUUGCAGCUGAAAACGAGCAGAUGCUAAAGCCUCAUCUGCACAAGAUCGUGAACAGUUCAAUGGAGCUCGCCCAGACUGCCAAAGAACCCUACAACUAUUUCCUGCUGCUCCGAGCCCUGUUCCGCUCCAUCGGGGGAGGUAGCCACGAUCUCCUGUAUCAGGAAUUUUUGCCUCUCCUGCCAAACCUCCUGCAAGGGCUGAACAUGCUGCAGAGCGGCCUGCACAAGCAGCACAUGAAGGACCUCUUCGUGGAGCUGUGUCUCACGGUGCCCGUGCGGCUGAGCUCGCUCCUGCCCUAUCUGCCCAUGUUGAUGGACCCCUUGGUGUCGGCUCUCAACGGCUCUCAGACGUUGGUCAGCCAAGGCCUGAGGACGCUGGAGUUGUGUGUGGACAACCUGCAGCCCGAUUUCCUCUAUGACCACAUCCAGCCCGUGCGCGCCGAGCUCAUGCAGGCUUUGUGGCGCACGUUACGCAACCCUGCUGACAGCAUUUCUCACGUGGCCUACCGCGUCCUUGGUAAAUUCGGUGGCAGCAACAGGAAGAUGCUAAAGGAGUCCCAGAAGCUGCACUAUGUCGUGACUGAAGUGCAAGGGCCCAGCAUCACAGUGGAGUUCUCUGACUGUAAAGCCUCUCUGCAGCUCCCAAUGGAGAAGGCCAUUGAAACAGCUCUGGACUGCCUGAAAAGUGCAAACACCGAGCCCUACUACCGGAGGCAGGCGUGGGAAGUGAUCAAGUGCUUCCUGGUGGCAAUGAUGAGCCUGGAGGACAAUAAGCACGCGCUCUACCAGCUCCUGGCGCACCCUAACUUUACAGAAAAGACCAUACCGAAUGUCAUCAUAUCACAUCGCUACAAAGCGCAGGACACUCCAGCUCGGAAGACCUUUGAGCAGGCUCUGACCGGGGCGUUCAUGUCCGCUGUCAUUAAAGACCUCCGGCCCAGCGCCCUGCCCUUUGUGGCCAGCCUGAUUCGCCACUACACCAUGGUGGCCGUCGCCCAGCAGUGCGGUCCGUUCUUGCUCCCCUGCUACCAGGUGGGCAGCCAGCCCAGCACGGCCAUGUUUCACAGCGAAGAAAACGGCUCCAAAGGAAUGGACCCCCUGGUUCUCAUUGAUGCGAUAGCUAUUUGUAUGGCGUAUGAAGAGAAGGAGCUUUGCAAGAUCGGGGAGGUGGCCCUGGCUGUGAUAUUUGACGUUGCGAGCAUCAUCCUGGGCUCCAAGGAGCGGGCGUGCCAGCUGCCCCUCUUCUCCUACAUCGUGGAACGCCUGUGCGCCUGCUGCUACGAGCAGGCCUGGUAUGCCAAGCUCGGGGGCGUGGUGUCCAUUAAGUUCCUCAUGGAGCGGCUGCCUCUCACGUGGGUUCUGCAGAACCAGCAGACCUUCCUCAAAGCGCUGCUCUUUGUCAUGAUGGACCUGACCGGAGAGGUUUCCAACGGGGCCGUCGCCAUGGCCAAGACCACGCUGGAGCAGCUUCUGAUGCGGUGCGCGACGCCCCUGAAGGACGAGGAGAGAGCCGAGGAGAUCGUGGCGGCCCAGGAGAAGUCCUUCCACCAUGUGACGCAUGACCUGGUUCGAGAAGUCACCUCUCCCAACUCCACUGUGAGAAAACAGGCUAUGCAUUCGCUGCAGGUACUGGCCCAGGUCACUGGAAAAAGCGUGACCGUGAUAAUGGAACCCCACAAAGAGGUUCUCCAGGACAUGGUCCCGCCUAAGAAGCAUUUGCUCCGACACCAGCCUGCCAACGCCCAGAUAGGCCUGAUGGAAGGCAACACGUUCUGUACCACUUUGCAGCCCCGGCUCUUCACGAUGGACCUUAACGUGGUGGAGCAUAAGGUGUUUUACACAGAGCUCUUGAAUUUGUGCGAGGCCGAAGAUUCAGCUUUAACAAAGCUGCCCUGUUAUAAAAGCCUUCCGUCUCUUGUCCCUUUACGAAUUGCAGCAUUAAAUGCACUUGCUGCCUGCAAUUACCUGCCUCAGUCCAGAGAGAAGAUCAUCGCUGCCCUCUUCAAAGCCCUUAAUUCAACCAACAGCGAGCUCCAGGAGGCGGGCGAGGCGUGUAUGAGGAAGUUUCUGGAAGGUGCCACCAUAGAAGUUGAUCAAAUCCACACACACAUGCGGCCUUUGUUGAUGAUGCUGGGGGAUUAUCGAAGCCUGACGCUGAACGUCGUGAACCGCCUGACCUCGGUGACCAGGCUCUUCCCAAACUCCUUCAAUGAUAAGUUUUGUGAUCAGAUGAUGCAACAUCUGCGAAAGUGGAUGGAAGUGGUGGUCCUCACCCACAAAGGGGGCCAGCGGAGCGACGGAAACGAAAUGAAAAUUUGCUCGGCAAUCAUAAACCUCUUCCACCUGAUCCCAGCUGCACCGCAGACUCUGGUCAAGCCUUUGUUGGAGGUUGUGAUGAAAACGGAACGUGCUAUGUUGAUCGAGGCUGGCAGUCCAUUCCGAGAGCCUCUGAUCAAGUUCCUGACCCGCCACCCCUCGCAGACGGUGGAGCUGUUCAUGAUGGAAGCCACGCUGAACGACCCCCAGUGGAGCAGGAUGUUCAUGAGUUUUUUAAAACACAAAGACGCCAGACCUCUUCGAGACGUGCUGGCGGCCAACCCGAACCGGUUCAUCACGCUCCUGCUGCCGGGCGGCGCCCAGGCGGCCGUGCGCCCCGGCUCGCCCAGCACCAGCACCCUGCGCCUGGACCUGCAGUUUCAGGCCAUCAAGAUCAUCAGCAUCAUAGUUAAAAACGACGACUCCUGGCUGGCCAAUCAGCACUCUCUGGUGAGCCAGCUGAGGCGCGUGUGGGUCAGUGAAACCUUUCAGGAACGACACCGGAAGGAGAACAUGGCUGCCACCAACUGGAAGGAGCCCAAGCUGCUGGCUUACUGUCUGCUGAACUACUGCAGGAGGAACUACGGAGACAUAGAGUUGCUCUUCCAGCUGCUCCGGGCCUUCACGGGUCGUUUCCUGUGCAACAUGACGUUCUUGAAAGAGUACAUGGAGGAGGAGAUUCCCAAAAGUUACAGCAUCGCUCAGAAGCGGGCCCUGUUUUUUCGCUUUGUGGACUUCAAUGACGCCAACUUUGGAGAUGAACUCAAGGCCAAGGUUCUGCAGCACAUCUUGAAUCCUGCUUUCUUGUACAGCUUUGAGAAGGGGGAAGGAGAGCAGCUCUUGGGACCUCCCAAUCCGGAAGGCGAUAACCCAGAAAGCAUCACCAGUGUUUUUAUAACCAAGGUCCUGGACCCCGAGAAGCAGGCGGACAUGCUGGACUCGCUGCGCAUCUACCUGCUGCAGUGCGCCACGCUGCUGGUGGAGCACGCCCCCCACCACAUCCACGACAACAACAAGAACCGCAACAGCAAGCUGCGCCGCCUCAUGACCUUCGCGUGGCCCUGCCUGCUCUCCAAGGCCUGCGUGGACCCCGCCUGCAAGUACAGCGGACACUUGCUCCUGGCCCACAUCAUCGCCAAGUUCGCCAUACACAAGAAAAUUGUCCUGCAGGUCUUUCACAGUCUGCUCAAGGCCCAUGCAAUGGAAGCUCGAGCCAUUGUCCGGCAGGCCAUGGCCAUUUUGACCCCGGCCGUGCCCGCCCGGAUGGAGGACGGGCACCAGAUGCUGACGCACUGGACGAGGAAGAUCAUCGUGGAGGAGGGGCACACGGUGCCCCAGCUGGUGCACAUCCUGCAUUUGAUCGUGCAGCAUUUUAAGGUGUACUACCCCGUGCGGCACCACCUGGUGCAGCACAUGGUCAGUGCCAUGCAGAGGCUGGGCUUCACGCCCAGUGUCACCAUCGAGCAGAGGCGGCUGGCCGUGGACCUGUCUGAGGUCGUCAUCAAGUGGGAGCUGCAGAGGAUCAAGGACCAGCAGCCGGACUCAGAUAUGGACCCAAAUUCAAGUGGAGAAGGAGUCAAUUCUGUCUCGUCUUCCAUCAAAAGAGGUCUGUCUGUGGACUCUGCACAGGAGGUGAAACGCUUCCGGACGGCGACAGGCGCCAUCAGCGCAGUGUUUGGACGGAGCCAGUCUCUGCCGGGUGCGGACUCCCUGCUCGCCAAGCCCAUUGACAAGCAGCACACGGAUACCGUGGUGAACUUCCUCAUCCGAGUGGCCUGUCAGGUCAACGACAACACCAACACUGCGGGGUCUCCUGGGGAGGUGCUGUCCCGCCGCUGCGUGACUCUCCUGAAGACGGCCUUGAGACCAGACAUGUGGUCCAAGUCGGAGCUUAAACUGCAGUGGUUCGACAAGCUGCUGAUGAGCGUGGAGCAGCCUAAUCAAGUCAACUAUGGGAACAUUUGCACGGGGCUGGAGGUGCUGAGCUUCUUGCUCACUGUCCUCCAGUCUCCAGCCAUCCUGAGCAGCUUCAAACCCCUGCAGCGUGGGAUCGCGGCCUGCAUGACGUGCGGAAACACCAAAGUGUUGCGAGCCGUGCACAGCCUCCUCUCUCGCCUCAUGAGUAUUUUCCCAACAGAGCCAAGUACGUCGAGCGUGGCCUCCAAAUACGAGGAGCUGGAGUGCCUCUACGCGGCGGUGGGAAAGGUCAUCUAUGAAGGCCUCACCAACUACGAGAAGGCCACCAACGCCAACCCCUCCCAGCUCUUUGGGACCCUGAUGAUCCUCAAGUCCGCCUGCAGCAACAACCCGAGCUACAUCGACAGGCUCAUCUCCGUCUUCAUGCGCUCCCUGCAGAAGAUGGUCCGCGAGCACCUGAACCCGCAGGCCGCGGCGGGCAGCACCGAAGCCACCUCAGGAACCAGCGAGCUGGUGAUGCUGAGCCUGGAGCUGGUGAAGACGCGCCUGGCCGUGAUGAGCGUGGAGAUGCGGAAGAACUUCGUUCAGGCCAUCCUGACCUCCCUCAUCGAAAAGUCCCCGGACGCCAAAAUCCUCCGGGCGGUGGUGAAGAUCGUGGAAGAGUGGGUUAAAAAUAACUCUCCAAUGGCAGCCAAUCAGACACCGACUCUCCGGGAGAAGUCCAUUCUGCUUGUGAAAAUGAUGACCUACAUAGAAAAGCGUUUUCCAGAAGACCUUGAACUAAACGCCCAGUUUUUAGACCUUGUUAACUACGUCUACAGGGACGAGACGCUGUCUGGCAGCGAGCUGACCGCAAAGCUCGAGCCUGCCUUUCUCUCAGGGCUGCGCUGUGCCCAGCCGCUCAUCAGGGCCAAGUUUUUUGAGGUUUUUGACAACUCUAUGAAGCGUCGUGUCUACGAGCGCCUGCUGUACGUGACCUGCUCCCAGAACUGGGAGGCCAUGGGGAACCACUUCUGGAUCAAGCAGUGCAUCGAGCUCCUGUUGGCCGUGUGUGAGAAGAGCACGCCCAUCGGAACGAGCUGCCAAGGAGCCAUGCUGCCGUCCAUCACCAACGUCAUCAACCUGGCCGACAGCCACGACCGCGCCGCCUUCGCCAUGGUCACGCACGUCAAGCAGGAGCCUCGGGAGCGGGAGAACAGCGAGUCCAAGGAGGAGGAUGUAGAGAUAGAUAUUGAACUAGCCCCAGGAGAUCAGACCAGCACACCCAAAACCAAAGAACUUUCUGAAAAGGACAUUGGAAACCAGCUGCAUAUGUUAACCAACAGACACGACAAGUUUCUGGAUACACUCCGGGAAGUGAAGACGGGCGCCCUGCUCAGCGCCUUCGUCCAGCUCUGCCACAUCUCCACCACGCUGGCCGAAAAGACGUGGGUGCAGCUUUUUCCCAGGUUGUGGAAAAUUCUGUCUGACAGACAGCAGCAUGCUCUGGCGGGCGAGAUCAGCCCCUUCCUGUGCAGCGGCAGCCACCAGGUGCAGCGGGACUGCCAGCCCAGCGCGCUCAACUGCUUCGUGGAGGCCAUGUCCCAGUGCGUCCCCCCCAUCCCCAUCCGGCCCUGCGUCCUCAAGUACCUGGGGAAGACCCACAACCUCUGGUUCCGCUCCACCUUGAUGCUCGAGCACCAGGCUUUUGAAAAAGGUCUGAGUCUGCAGAUUAAGCCGAAGCAAACCUCGGAAUUUUAUGAGCAGGAGAGCAUAACGCCCCCUCAGCAGGAGAUUCUGGAUUCCCUUGCUGAACUCUACUCCUUGUUACAAGAGGAAGACAUGUGGGCGGGCUUGUGGCAGAAGCGCUGCAAGUACUCAGAGACGGCGACAGCCAUCGCCUACGAGCAGCACGGGUUCUUUGAGCAGGCUCAAGAAUCGUAUGAGAAGGCAAUGGAUAAAGCCAAAAAAGAGCAUGAGAGAAGCAACGCGUCCCCUGCCAUUUUCCCGGAAUACCAGCUUUGGGAGGAUCACUGGAUUCGGUGCUCCAAGGAGUUGAACCAGUGGGAAGCCUUGACAGAGUACGGCCAGUCUAAGGGCCACAUCAACCCUUACCUCGUCCUGGAGUGUGCUUGGCGGGUGUCCAACUGGACGGCCAUGAAGGAGGCGCUGGUGCAGGUAGAAGUAAGCUGUCCGAAGGAGAUGGCUUGGAAGGUGAAUAUGUACCGUGGAUACCUGGCCAUCUGCCACCCCGAGGAGCAGCAGCUCAGCUUCAUCGAGCGCCUGGUGGAAAUGGCCAGCAGCCUGGCCAUCCGUGAGUGGCGGCGGCUGCCCCACGUGGUGUCGCACGUGCACACGCCCCUUCUCCAGGCAGCCCAGCAAAUCAUUGAGCUUCAGGAAGCUGCUCAGAUCAAUGCAGGCUUGCAGCCCACCAACCUGGGGAGGAACAACAGCCUGCACGACAUGAAGACAGUGGUGAAGACCUGGCGGAACAGGCUGCCCAUCGUGUCGGACGACUUGUCCCACUGGAGCAGCGUCUUCAUGUGGCGGCAGCAUCAUUACCAGGCUAUUGUGACUGCGUAUGAAAACAGUUCUCAGCAUGAUCCAAGUUCGAAUAACGCUAUGCUUGGGGUUCACGCAUCGGCGUCAGCAAUCAUCCAGUACGGGAAAAUUGCCCGAAAACAGGGACUGGUCAAUGUAGCUCUGGAUAUAUUAAGUCGUAUUCACACCAUCCCCACGGUCCCCAUCGUGGACUGCUUCCAGAAGAUACGACAGCAAGUCAAGUGCUACCUCCAGCUGGCGGGCGUCAUGGGCAAGAAUGAGUGCAUGCAGGGCCUUGAAGUUAUUGAAUCUACAAACUUAAAAUACUUCACAAAAGAGAUGACAGCCGAAUUUUAUGCACUGAAGGGAAUGUUCUUGGCUCAGAUCAACAAGUCUGAGGAAGCAAACAAGGCCUUUUCUGCGGCUGUGCAGAUGCACGAUGUGCUGGUGAAAGCUUGGGCCAUGUGGGGCGACUACCUGGAGAACAUCUUUGUGAAGGAGCGGCAGCUGCAUCUUGGGGUGUCUGCCAUUACCUGUUACCUGCACGCGUGCCGGCAUCAGAACGAGAGCAAAUCAAGAAAAUACUUGGCCAAGGUGCUGUGGCUUUUGAGUUUUGAUGAUGACAAAAAUACCUUGGCUGAUGCUGUGGACAAGUACUGCAUCGGGGUACCGCCCAUCCAGUGGCUGGCCUGGAUCCCACAGCUGCUCACCUGUCUGGUUGGCUCCGAGGGAAAGCUGCUCUUGAACCUCAUUAGCCAGGUGGGACGCGUGUACCCCCAAGCCGUCUACUUCCCCAUCCGGACCCUCUACCUGACCCUAAAGAUAGAGCAGCGGGAGCGCUACAAGAGCGAUCCAGGGCCCAUAAGAGCCACAGCCCCCAUGUGGCGCUGCAGCCGAAUCAUGCACAUGCAGCGGGAGCUACACCCGACCCUGCUGUCUUCCCUGGAAGGCAUCGUCGACCAGAUGGUCUGGUUCCGAGAGAACUGGCACGAGGAGGUUCUCAGGCAGCUCCAGCAGGGCCUGGCCAAGUGCUACUCGGUCGCCUUUGAGAAAAGCGGGGCUGUGUCGGACGCCAAAAUCACCCCCCACACUCUCAACUUUGUCAAGAAGCUGGUGAGCACGUUCGGGGUGGGCUUGGAGAACGUGUCCAACGUCUCGACCAUGUUCUCCAGCGCGGCCUCCGAGUCUCUCGCCCGGCGGGCGCAGGCCACCGCGCAGGACCCUGUCUUCCAGAAGCUGAAGGGCCAGUUCACCACUGAUUUUGACUUCAGUGUUCCAGGAUCCAUGAAGCUGCAUAAUCUUAUUUCUAAAUUGAAAAAGUGGAUCAAAAUCCUGGAGGCUAAAACCAAGCAGCUGCCAAAAUUCUUCCUCAUAGAAGAAAAGUGCCGGUUUUUGAGCAAUUUCUCGGCACAGACGGCUGAGGUGGAGAUUCCUGGGGAGUUUCUGAUGCCGAAGCCGACCCACUACUACAUCAAGAUCGCCAGGUGAGUGCGCCCGCCCUGGCCUCGCGCGCGCAGGCCCCCCGGGCAGCCCCGGCAGCGGUCCAGACGGUGGCCGCGCUCCCCCUGAGCCAGAGAGGCCCCAGGGUUGCGCCCGGCGUUCGGUCACGAGCACCGCGGCGGGGCUGGCCUAACUGAUGGCUUCAGCCAGGUCUUGUUGGAGUCAGGUUUGUGUUUGCUCUGCAAAGAGCCUCUGCGGCAUCCUCACAGAGCUUGACAGAAUAUAAAGUUUCCCAGUUUUCUGGGCACUCCCGGAGCAGGCUGCAUCUCACUUACAGCGUAAGGAGAGCUGUGCAGAGGAGCCCCGCACAGUCGGGCGCCCCUGCCUGUUUCUCCCGCCCCGCGCCAGCCCCCACUGGCUCCUGGGCUCCUGCUCCUCCGCCCCAGCGCCCCGCGGUGCCGUCUCCGCCGUCUGUUCCUGUGAUGGUUCUGGCUGCCGUUCGUCUGAAGCUCCGUCUUCUCCAAGACCAGGGCAGGGAGUGGCAGCGGGGCGUGGGGGUUUCAGCGUCCGCUUGUGCCCAUAGGUUUAUGCCCCGGGUGGAGAUCGUGCAGAAGCACAACACCGCCGCCAGGAGGCUGUACAUCCGCGGGCACAACGGCAAGGUCUACCCCUACCUGGUCAUGAACGACGCCUGCCUGACGGAGUCGAGGAGGGAGGAGCGCGUGCUGCAGCUGCUGCGCCUGCUGAACCCCUGCCUGGAGAAGAGGAAGGAGACCACCAAGCGGCACUUGUUUUUCACAGUCCCCCGCGUCGUGGCCGUGUCCCCGCAGAUGCGCCUGGUGGAGGACAAUCCCUCCUCGCUCUCCCUGGUGGAGAUCUACAAGCAGCGCUGCGCCAAGAAGGGCAUCGAGCAUGACAACCCCAUCUCCCGCUACUAUGACCGGCUGGCCACGGUGCAGGCGCGGGGCACACAGGCCAGCCACCAGGUGCUCCGCGACAUCCUCAAGGAGGUCCAGAGCAACAUGGUGCCGCGCAGCAUGCUCCGGGAGUGGGCCCUGCACACCUUCCCCAACGCCACCGACUACUGGACCUUCCGCAAGAUGCUCACCAUCCAGCUCGCGCUCAUCGGCUUCGCCGAGUUUGUGCUGCAUCUCAACAGGCUCAACCCCGAGAUGCUGCAGAUAGCGCAGGACACCGGCAAACUCAACGUGGCCUACUUCCGAUUCGACAUAAAUGACGCGACCGGAGACUUGGACGCCAACCGCCCUGUCCCGUUCCGCCUCACCCCCAACAUUUCCGAGUUUCUGACCACCAUCGGCGUCUCGGGCCCUUUGACCGCGUCCAUGAUCGCCGUGGCCCGGUGCUUCGCCCAGCCCAACUUCAAGGUGGACGGCAUCCUGAAAACCGUGCUGCGGGACGAGAUCAUCGCGUGGCACAAAAAAACACAGGAGGACACCUCGUCCCCCCUCUCGGCCGCCGGGCAGCCCGAGAACAUGGACAGCCAGCAGCUGGUGUCCCUGGUUCAGAAGGCCGUGACGGCCAUCAUGACCCGCCUGCACAACCUCGCCCAGUUUGAGGGCGGGGAGAGCAAAGUGAACACCCUGGUGGCCGCCGCCAACAGCCUGGACAACCUGUGCCGCAUGGACCCCGCCUGGCACCCCUGGCUGUGAGCGCGAGGCCGGCCUGCGGCUGGACGGGGACGGUUCCUCCCCUGCCGGUCAGUGCCAGAUGGGGUGGGGGGCAGGUGGGCCUCAGCCAAAGCUUUUCCAGUCACCUUUUAAGCAGCCAGGGCUCCCUGGCGUGGAACUUCUUGUGAGUUCUUUUUUACUGGACUCCUCCCUCUGUGUGAAUGUACAGCUUGAACUGCAGGAAGCACUUCUCUGCCGUCAUUUUUAACACCUGGAAGUUUCCCCUCGCAGGAGCUUCGUGCUUUUGUACAGAACUUUGUAGCCAGUGUACAGAAAACCCACUGUGUCAGAGAAACAGGAAAGUAUGAACAAACUGCGCUGGAUUAUCUCUGAGCACAAACUCCCACGCUGUGGUAACCAACCUGGGAAUGUCACCGAGCGCCUGCCGCCACCGGACCAGGCCCCGCGCCCUGCGGGGCCACCCCCUGCCCACAUUCGGAUUGGGGUCCAGGGAGAACGGAACUUGGGAGCCGACGCUGCUCGGGUGUCUUUGUCUAGACGUCCACUCUCACUGUACCUGGAAAACAAAACACUUCCCUUCUUAACUUAAAAAGCAGCAGCAGAGGUUUGUUCCCUAGCUCCUGUCUGUUCCCAUUUUUAUAAAUGUGAGCACUGAGAAUGUUCUAUCUAAAUUUGUACAGUGUGAUUUUUUUUAGAAUAAAUAUUUUAU